GUCCACUGCCAUACCACCCUGAAUGCACUCGAUCUCAUCUGAUCUUGGAAGCUAAGCAGGAUCGGGCCUGGUUAGUACUUGGAUGGGAAAAAUCAUGAACAAGCUAUAAAUGAUC
Molecule: ribosomal RNA, 115 nt
Filed under: Microcebus murinus (gray mouse lemur)
Lineage: Eukaryota; Metazoa; Chordata; Mammalia; Primates; Cheirogaleidae
Source: RNAcentral